This 705-nucleotide ribosomal RNA is filed under the name Pseudophaeobacter sp. RNAcentral describes it as "bacterial SSU rRNA". It matches the Rfam family "Bacterial small subunit ribosomal RNA", at positions 45 to 797 of the family's 1533-position model. Lineage: Bacteria; Pseudomonadati; Pseudomonadota; Alphaproteobacteria; Rhodobacterales; Roseobacteraceae. The record is from RNAcentral.
CGCGCUACCAUGCAAGUCGAGCGCACUCUUCGGAGUGAGCGGCGGACGGGUUAGUAACGCGUGGGAACGUGCCCUUCUCUAAGGAAUAGCCACUGGAAACGGUGAGUAAUACCUUAUACGCCCUUCGGGGGAAAGAUUUAUCGGAGAAGGAUCGGCCCGCGUUAGAUUAGAUAGUUGGUGGGGUAAUGGCCUACCAAGUCUACGAUCUAUAGCUGGUUUUAGAGGAUGAUCAGCAACACUGGGACUGAGACACGGCCCAGACUCCUACGGGAGGCAGCAGUGGGGAAUCUUGGACAAUGGGCGCAAGCCUGAUCCAGCCAUGCCGCGUGAGUGAUGAAGGCCUUAGGGUCGUAAAGCUCUUUCGCCAGAGAUGAUAAUGACAGUAUCUGGUAAAGAAACCCCGGCUAACUCCGUGCCAGCAGCCGCGGUAAUACGGAGGGGGUUAGCGUUGUUCGGAAUUACUGGGCGUAAAGCGCACGUAGGCGGAUCAGAAAGUAUAGGGUGAAAUCCCAGGGCUCAACCCUGGAACUGCCUUGUAAACUCCUGGUCUUGAGUUCGAGAGAGGUGAGUGGAAUUCCGAGUGUAGAGGUGAAAUUCGUAGAUAUUCGGAGGAACACCAGUGGCGAAGGCGGCUCACUGGCUCGAUACUGACGCUGAGGUGCGAAAGUGUGGGGAGCAAACAGGAUUAGAUACCCUGGUAGUCCA